AGACCGAUAGCGAACAAGUAGAGUGAUCGAAAGAUGAAAAGCACUUUGGAAAGAGAGUUAAAAAGCACGUGAAAUUGUUGAAAGGGAAGCGCUUGCAGCCAGACUUGCCUGUAGUUGCUCAUCCGGGUUUCUACCCGGUGCACUCUUCUACGGGCAGGCCAGCAUCAGUUUGGGCGGUUGGAUAAAGGUCUCUGUCAUGUACCUCCCUUCGGGGAGAUCUUAUAGGGGAGACGACAUGCAACCAGCCUGGACUGAGGUCCGCGCAUCUGCUAGGAUGCUGGCGUAAUGGCUGUAAGCGGCCCGUCUUGAAACACGGACCAAG
Molecule: ribosomal RNA, 322 nt
Filed under: Epicoccum sp. SW075
Lineage: Eukaryota; Fungi; Ascomycota; Dothideomycetes; Pleosporales; Didymellaceae
Description: LSU rRNA
Rfam family: Eukaryotic large subunit ribosomal RNA
Source: RNAcentral